AACCUUCCUUUAAGCGGGGGAUAGCCCAUAGAAAUGUGGAUUAAUACCCCAUAAUAUUAUUGACUGGCAUCAGUUGAUAAUUAAAGAUUUAUCACUUAAAGAUGGCUGUGCGGCUGAUUAGGUAGUUGGUUGGGGUAACGGCCCACCAAGCCAUCGAUCAGUAGCUGAUGUGAGAGCAUGAUCAGCCACACGGGCACUGAGACACGGGCCCG
Molecule: ribosomal RNA, 212 nt
Filed under: uncultured bacterium
Lineage: Bacteria
Description: partial 16S ribosomal RNA
Rfam family: Bacterial small subunit ribosomal RNA
Source: RNAcentral